Molecule: unclassified non-coding RNA, 376 nt
Filed under: uncultured bacterium
Lineage: Bacteria
Description: contains 16S-23S intergenic spacer region
Source: RNAcentral
UCCGAGUUGACCCCGGCAGUCUCCUAUGAGUCCCCGCCAUUACGCGCUGGCAACAUAGAACGAGGGUUGCGCUUGUUGCGGGACUUAACCCAACAUCUCACGACACGAGCUGACGACAACCAUGCACCACCUGUAUACCGCCCUUGCGGACCCCAUAUCUCUAUGAGUUUUCGGUAUAUGUCAAGCCUUGGUAAGGUUCCUCGCGUAUCAUCGAAUUAAACCACAUGCUCCACCGCUUGUGCGGGCCCCCGUCAAUUCCUUUGAGUUUCAGUCUUGCGACCGUACUCCCCAGGCGGCGAACUUAACGCGUUAGCUUCGAUACUGAGUGCCAAAUUGCACCCAACAUCCAGUUCGCAUCGUUUAGGGCGUGGACUAC